This 1537-nucleotide long non-coding RNA is filed under the name Lupinus angustifolius (narrow-leaved blue lupine). Its description in RNAcentral is "long non-coding RNA (LANG_LNC001771)". Lineage: Eukaryota; Viridiplantae; Streptophyta; Magnoliopsida; Fabales; Fabaceae. The record is from RNAcentral.
UCGAUCUGAAGGGUUAGUUUGUAUACACCACAAACUUGCUAGUAUCAUCUUUUUUAUCUUGUCUCUAUCACUUUCAUUCAUAACAUUCCUCAAUGCAAGCUCUUCAUUUAGUUCAAUACGCUUAUAAAUCCAAUAAGGAAAAUAUAUUUCACUAGUACACUCAACUUCAACAUUAACAUUCCUUCUUCCUCCAACCAUUUCAAGUACGAGCAUUCCAAAACUAUAGACAUCUGAUUUGUAAGAGACUACUCCGAUAUUUCUACAGAAUACCUCAGGAGCAAUAUAUCCUAUAGUUCCUCUAGCAACCAACAUGGACACAACACUCUCAUUUCUAGGGCAUAUUUUUGCAAGUCCAAAAUCCGAUAUCUUGGGACAAAACAUCUCAUCCAACAAUAUGUUGUGAGGCUUUAUGUCAAAGUGAAAUAUUCUAGUGUUGCAUCCUCUAUGCAAGUACUCUAGUCCUCGACCGACGCCAAUUGCGAUUUGAUAUAACAUUUCACAAUUCAAUUGGCAAUCAGCUGUCAAGUUGUUAGUCUCAUAUAUAAACUUCUCUAGAGAUCCAUUAGCCAUAUACUCAUAGAUCAGAGCCUUUUUGGAUUCUUCAGAACAAAAUCCUAUAAGAGUGACAAUGUUCACAUGAGAAGUCUUGCUAAUACUUGCUACCUCAUUGAUAAAUUCUUCUCCAUUGCCUUUCAGUUCACUCAGAAUCUUAACAGCAACUAAAGAUCCAUCUUCUAACUUCCCUUUGAAAACACUUCCAUAGCCUCCUUGGCCUAACUUUUCUUUGAAAGAAUUGGUCAUUUUCUUUAUUUCCAUGUAGCUAUAUCUUCUUACUGCAAUUGGUCCAUAAUUCUUGAGGAAGGUCUCAAAAUCUUGAUUAACUCUAGAUUUCUUCUUCCAGAAUCUACACAAUAGUUUUCUUCUAAAGCAGUAGAUUAUAAUAACUACAAGUCCAAAUCCCGCAGCUGCAGAAACUGUAAUCGGUGAAAUUGGAUGAGAUAGUGAUCUGUUGAAUUAGUCUUAACUAUCUUUUUUAUUUAUUCUAGUAUUUGUGAUACCAUCCAUGUUCAUGCACAUUUAAUUAAAACCUUCAUUAUAUAAUGUUUACAACUAUCCUUACUCUGCUUCAGGCAUUUCUCAUGCUUGUCACUUUUAUGUAUCUCUUAUUUCAUAUAAAGUAAUAUUCGACUAUAAUAAAAAGUGGAAAAGUAAAUUAGACUUGAUAUAACUUAGCAUAAAGUGUUACUUGAGCAAAAUUUAUCACCUGUUGCUAGUAUGACAACCGGUUUUCCAGAUUCCUCUGCAGAAUAAGCAAUGAAUUAGUUAAUCAUGUAUCUGUUCAAGGCUGGAGGUCGCUCAAACAAACUCACUACUAGUGAAUCUCUUAAUAAAUCAAGCUUGUAAGGUUUAUAUUUCUCGCUUAAUCGUCUUAAAACUUCGAAUGAUGUUCAUCAUCUAGAUGUUAUCUUCUUAUAUGUUAUUUUGAAAACAGUAUCUCUUCGGUUGCGAAAGUAAGGUUGUAUACAUCUACUCCUAU